GACGAACGCUGGCGGCGUGCUUAACACAUGCAAGUCGAGCGGUAAGGCCCUUUCGGGGGUACACGAGCGGCGAACGGGUGAGUAACACGUGGGUGACCUGCCCUCAGCUCUGGGAUAAGCCUGGGAAACUGGGCCUAAUACCGGAUAUGACUCCAUGACGCAUGUUGUGGGGUGGAAAGCCUUGUGCGGCUGAGGAUGGGCCCGCGGCCUAUCAGCUUGUUGGUGGGGUGAGGCCUACCAAGGCGACGACGGGUAGCCGGCCUGAGAGGGCGACCGGCCACACUGGGACUGAGACACGGCCCAGACUCCUACGGGAGGCAGCAGUGGGGAAUCUUGCGCAAUGGGCGAAAGCCUGACGCAGCGACGCCGCGUGAGGGAUGACGGCC
RNAcentral lists this ribosomal RNA (386 nucleotides) under uncultured bacterium. RNAcentral describes it as "bacterial SSU rRNA". It matches the Rfam family "Bacterial small subunit ribosomal RNA", at positions 28 to 416 of the family's 1533-position model. The record is from RNAcentral.